Long non-coding RNA from Puntigrus tetrazona (Sumatra barb), 496 nucleotides. RefSeq lists it as uncharacterized. The transcript is spliced from 3 exons. Lineage: Eukaryota; Metazoa; Chordata; Actinopteri; Cypriniformes; Cyprinidae. The record is from RefSeq and is a predicted model, not a curated record.
CUGUUUAAUAACUUUUAUCUGACGGUUCGUGAUAGCUCUCUUUUGAGUCCGGAUGUGCUCUUCAAGAUAUUACUCCUGUGUGACAUCUGGGAUUCAUUUAUUUGUAUUAUCAUGCUGAAAGCAGCAGACAUUGAGAGGAUUCCUCCAGAGAUCUUGUCCUUCCUGGAGAGAAGCUUCUGCUGUCUACUGGACAUCUCCUUCAGCUUCCUAACGUUCCUUCAUGAGAGAUGUGCACCCAACACUUGUGCUCUGAUGUUCUGAGAUUUGUGUCUCAGGCCAACACCAGACUUCACCUGACUUCAUCAUCUUCCAUCAGAAUCCUUGACGCGAGUGCUCUUCACUUCCUGUGACACUCACAGCUGCUCACUUCCUGCUGGAUUUCUCUAUAUUAACUAUAUCUUAUAUUGGACUGUUUUUGGGCAAUUUAUCAAUCAGUUUUUAUAACAUAGUGUCACGUUCUCUGGACUCUUUGUUUAUGUUUUUGUCUCGUGCCAUG